CUCAAAGCUCAGUCAAACUCCCACCGCCCCCUCAUUUCUCCUAUCCUCCCCAUUCUUCCCUCAUUCAUGGCCACGACAUCCCCAUCCACAGGCGACGGCCCGGCGAUCUGCUCUGCGCCGCCCCUCACUCCUCCUGGCGACGCCGGGGCCAUCCACCGUGUGCGCUUUCCUCUUCCUCCCCAUGGCCGCCUUGCUCCCCAUCACCUACGCCCACUCUGGCAGCCCCCAACCCUAGUUCUCUCACACCCUGUAGGUUGAGGAGGAGUGAGGCUUCUGGGCGAGGAGGUGCUGGUGGUGGUGCUGCUGGGCGAGGAGGCACUUGAUUUGCGUUCGCCGGCGCUGGAUCCGCAUGCGCCGGCGCUUGAUCUGCUCCGUCGUGGCUCCGGCGACCUUACCAUGUGGCUCCGGGACAGGAAGGCUACCCCGACGACAUACAGGAGACCUCAACACGCCAAUGGAUGCAGCCAGCCUCCAACUCACCACGCACCUGCACCAACUUGAUGUAGGGAGAGGAGGAGUGAGGCUUCUCUCACGGGAUGACGCCCAGCCAUGGGGCAGCAACAACCCAAGAUUGCUGUCAAAAUAAGCCUAAAUUCAGAGUCUUCGGAAGUCAAUUACUUUGAGCCUUUGAGUUAGAAGCUAGUUAAUGUACCCUCAGCGGCCGUGCUUGAUAGGAGGGGCCAGGGAAGUGCUUUAAGUCGUUCCAAGAAUGUGAGACAGUGUCAAGUCUGUAAGGCAAGUCAAGGGGAUCCUGUGGCGGCAAGAUCCUUCAGCGGUGCAAGAGAUUAAGGGUUCCAUAAUCGAUUCCGCGCCUGUUGCUGUCCCCAAUUUUCAGCUGGGUGACCGCCUCUUGUCCAGUAGCUGGCACAUGUGACACGAUGUUACUGGCAUUGAAAGCAGCAGUAAUGUUCUGCAGUUGGGUGACCGCCUCUUGUCAAGUAGCUGGCAUAUGUGACACAAGGUUACUGCCAUCGAAAGCAGCAAACUAUGCAGAACAGAAACAGGAGCAAUGAACGGAUGUCAUUGUUAACAUCCUCACAUGCUUGCAAAUCAGCCUGCCGAGGAGUUUGCCGCCGCCGAUGCUUAGUCCGGAGACAGUCGCGACAGUGUAGGCGACGGCGUCUGAAAGAUUGAAGAGAAAGCAUGCACCUGUGUUGGCGAGGAGGUCGUCGUCAUGGAUGUCGCGGUCGUCAUCGGCGUCGUCGGUGCGGCCGUCGUCUGGCGUCGUCGGUGCCGCCGUCGUCUGGCGUCGUCGGUGCGGGCAUCCUCGGCGCGGGCGUUUCGGUGGAGGGCAACUCUGAAGAGCGACGGGAGGAUUGGUUGCCACUAAUUUUGGAGCGGAUGUGGCUGUUUCACUGUGUUUUUUUUCUUUUCUUUUAGUUGGCGUUGGCUGAAGGACGACAGAGUUUCGUCCGCCCACCUAAAUUGCUUAGCGUACAACGUGAGGGGUACUUUUAUGUAUUCACGGUUAGAUCCCAUUGAGUAGGCUUAUCUUGACCCUCCAAUUGAUGUGUUUUCUUCUGUGUACAGUAAGCGGGAUGCGUUUAGGGGAGUUAACGUUUGCUUAUUUUAUAGUAGUAGAGAUACACAUCAGCCCCAGGCCCAGCAGACUCGUGUUUCCUUUUCUUGCCUUUCGCUGUUACACCUUUUUUGCCCUUAUAUCAUUUCAAAAAAGAUU
Triticum aestivum (bread wheat) is the source of this 1678-nucleotide RNA transcript. RefSeq lists it as uncharacterized. The record is from RefSeq and is a predicted model, not a curated record. The transcript has 7 exons. NCBI's taxonomy places the organism in Eukaryota, Viridiplantae, Streptophyta, Magnoliopsida, Poales, Poaceae.